GAUGAACGCUGGCGGCGUGCCUAAUACAUGCAAGUCGAGCGAAUGGAUUGAGAGCUUGCUCUUAUGAAGUUAGCGGCGGACGGGUGAGUAACACGUGGGUAACCUGCCCAUAAGACUGGGAUAACUCCGGGAAACCGGGGCUAAUACCGGAUAACAUUUUGAACCGCAUGGUUCGAAAUUGAAAGGCGGCUUCGGCUGUCACUUAUGGGUGGACCCGCGUCGCAUUGGCUAGUUGGUGAGGUAACGGCUCACCAAGGCAACGAUGCGUAGCCGACCUGAGAGGGUGAUCGGCCACACUGGGACUGAGACACGGCCCAGACUCCUACGGGAGGCAGCAGUAGGGAAUCUUCCGCAAUGGACGAAAGUCUGACGGGGCAACGCCGCGUGAGUGAUGAAGGCUUUCGGGUCGUAAAACUCUGUUGUUAGGGAAGAACAAGUGCUAGUUGAAUAAGCUGGCACCUUGACGGUACCUAACCAGAAAGCCACGGCUAACUACGUGCCAGCAGCCGCCGUAA
Molecule: ribosomal RNA, 515 nt
Filed under: uncultured bacterium
Lineage: Bacteria
Description: partial 16S ribosomal RNA
Rfam family: Bacterial small subunit ribosomal RNA
Source: RNAcentral